AUUGUUACCUCUUGGUAAAUUCAUGUGACAACAUAUUUCUUUGCAUUUGGAAUACGGGAAUAGAAAAGAGGACGUUUUUUUCGCAGAGAGAAUUAUCUCAACGAGGUGAUCCUCCGUUAAAGAUGUCCUACAGAUAUUCCGCCAAAGUGCCUCCGGGCUUGAUGACUCUUUUGGAAGGCCUCAGUCGGUCCGUGGUUAAAAGACGGCCAGAUUCCAUCUCACAGUUUGCUACAUUUUACUUCGCCGAGCUCUUGCACUUCAGGACAGAAAAUCCAACUCUUGCCAUCAACGACCUUGUGAGAGAAUUCAAUACAACUAAAGUGCCUAAGUUCCCAAGUCAUAGCAUUGGAGCUGUGAUUGCUCCGCUGGCAGUUCAGAAUGAAAGUGCCACAGCAGUGUCUCCUGGUGGUCAAUAUGUCCAACCAUUUGGAAUUUAC
This is a long non-coding RNA of Salmo salar (Atlantic salmon), 437 nucleotides long. RefSeq lists it as uncharacterized. The record is from RefSeq and is a predicted model, not a curated record. NCBI's taxonomy places the organism in Eukaryota, Metazoa, Chordata, Actinopteri, Salmoniformes, Salmonidae.